Molecule: ribosomal RNA, 1436 nt
Filed under: Pseudomonas sp. SSWC 110
Lineage: Bacteria; Pseudomonadati; Pseudomonadota; Gammaproteobacteria; Pseudomonadales; Pseudomonadaceae
Description: partial 16S ribosomal RNA
Rfam family: Bacterial small subunit ribosomal RNA
Source: RNAcentral
GAUGCUCUAGAUUAGAGUUUGAUCCUGCCUCACAUUGACGCUGGUCGCAGGCCUAACACAUGUCAGUCCAGCCUAUGACGCGAGCUUGCUCCUUGAUUCCCCGCCCGACGGGUGCAUUAAUGCCUAUGAAUCUGCCUGGUCCUGGGGGACAACGUUUCGUCAGGAACGUUAAUACCUUCCACUUCCUACUUGAGAAAGCUGGGACCUCCCCGGCCUUGACCUAUCCGAUGAGCUUAGGUCGGAUUACUUUGUUGCCGAGGUAAUGGCUUACCUCGGAUACGAUGCGUAACUGGCCCGACCCGAUGAUCAGUCACACUGCCUCUGAUACCCGCUCCAGACUCCUACCGGACGCAGCACUGGGGAAUAUUGGACAAUGGGUGAAAGCUCGAUCCCUUCCUGCCUCGCGUGUGAAGAACGUCUUCGGAUUGUAAAUCCCUUUAACUUGGUCGGAACGCUCGUAAGUUAAUACCCUGCUGUCCUCACAUUCCCGACAGAACACGCACCGGAUCAUUUUGUGCCAGCACCCGCGGUAAUCCAGAAGCGGUGCAAGGGUUCCUCGGAAUUACUGGUUUUCCAGCGCGCGUCCAGGUGGUUUGUUAAGUUGGAUGUGAAAGCCCCUGGGCUCAACGUGGGGGCUGCCUCCAAAACUGUGUAAGCUUGCGUACGGUUGAGGGUGGUGGAAUUUCCUCGUGUAGCUGUCGAAAUGCGUCGCUAUCGGAAGGAACAUCCAGUGGCGAAGGUUACCACUUGGACUGAUACUGACACUUGAGGUGCGAAAGCGUGGGGAGCAAACAGGAUUAGAUACCGUCGGUCGUCUCACGCCGUAAACUGAUGUCAACUGGCCGUUGGAAUCCUUGAGAUUUUAGUGGCUUCAGCUAACGCAUUCAGUUGACCGCCUGCGGGAGUACGGCCCGCACGGUUCAACACUCUAAAAUGGAAUUCGACUGGUGCCCGCAUAAGCGGUGGCAGCAUGUGGUUUGAAUUCGCUAGCAACGCGUAGAACCCUUACGCACGUCCUCUGACAUGUACGACGUACUAUUCCAGAGAUGUGAGUAUGGUGCCUCUCGUGGAACUACUGCACACUAGGCUGUCUGCAUAGGCUNGUCUGUCAGCUCGUGUCGUGAGAUGUUGGGUUAAGUCCCGUAACGAGCGCAACCCUUGUCCUUAGUUACCAGCACGUUAUGGUGGGCACUCUAAGGAGACUGCCGGUGACAAACCGGAGGAAGGUGGGGAUGACGUCAAGUCAUCAUGGCCCUUACGGCCUGGGCUACACACGUGCUACAAUGGUCGGUACAGAGGGUUGCCAAGCCGCGAGGUGGAGCUAAUCUCACAAAACCGAUCGUAGUCCGGAUCGCAGUCUGCAACUCGACUGCGUGAAGUCGGAAUCGCUAGUAAUCGCGAAUCAGAAUGUCGCGGUGAAUACGUUCCCGGGCCUU